CCUACUGGGAACAUCAUUGAGGCAUCUUGGUCAAUGGGCGCGAGCCUGAACCAGCCAAGUAGCGUGAAGUCUUCCUUCCCUCCUUUUUUUCCCCUUCUUUUCUCCCUUCCUCCAUUGAUUCCCUUGUGCCUUUUUGUAUGUACUUUAUGAAUAAGGAUCGGCUAACUCCGUGCCAGCCGCCUCGGUAAUACUGCUUAUCCGCUCGUUAUCCGGAUUUAUUGGGUUUAAAGGGAGCGUAGAUGGGUUGUUAAGUCAGUUGUGAAAGUUUGCGGCUCAACCGUAAAAUUGCAAUUGAUACUGGCAGCCUUGAGUACAGUUGAGGUAGGCGGAAUUCGUGGUGUAGCGGUGAAAUGCUUAGAGAUCACGAAGAACUCCGAUUGCGAAGGCAGCUUAAGAAACUGCCAAUGACAUUGAUGCGCGAAAGUGGGGGGAUCAAACAGGAGUAGAGAAAAGGGGAGUC
RNAcentral lists this ribosomal RNA (460 nucleotides) under uncultured bacterium. RNAcentral's name for it is "partial 16S ribosomal RNA". It matches the Rfam family "Bacterial small subunit ribosomal RNA", at positions 338 to 795 of the family's 1533-position model. The record is from RNAcentral.